AGAGAGGUAGCUUGCUACUGAUCUUAGCGGCGGACGGGUGAGUAAUGCUUAGGAAUCUGCCUAUUAGUGGGGGACAACAUUUCGAAAGGAAUGCUAAUACCGCAUACGUCCUACGGGAGAAAGCAGGGGAUCUUCGGACCUUGCGCUAAUAGAUGAGCCUAAGUCGGAUUAGCUAGUUGGUGGGGUAAAGGCCUACCAAGGCGACGAUCUGUAGCGGGUCUGAGAGGAUGAUCCGCCACACUGGGACUGAGACACGGCCCAGACUCCUACGGGAGGCAGCAGUGGGGAAUAUUGGACAAUGGGCGCAAGCCUGAUCCAGCCAUGCCGCGUGUGUGAAGAAGGCCUUAUGGUUGUAAAGCACUUUAAGCGAGGAGGAGGCUACUUUAGUUAAUACCUAGAGAUAGUGGACGUUACUCGCAGAAUAAGCACCGGCUAACUCUGUGCCAGCAGCCGCGGUAAUACAGAGGGUGCAAGCGUUAAUCGGAUUUACUGGGCGUAAAGCGCGCGUAGGCGGCUAAUUAAGUCAAAUGUGAAAUCCCCGAGCUUAACUUGGGAAUUGCAUUCGAUACUGGUUAGCUAGAGUGUGGGAGAGGAUGGUAGAAUUCCAGGUGUAGCGGUGA
This 620-nucleotide ribosomal RNA is filed under the name Acinetobacter sp. RNAcentral describes it as "bacterial SSU rRNA". It matches the Rfam family "Bacterial small subunit ribosomal RNA", at positions 69 to 684 of the family's 1533-position model. The record is from RNAcentral. Lineage: Bacteria; Pseudomonadati; Pseudomonadota; Gammaproteobacteria; Moraxellales; Moraxellaceae.